GUGUCCGCUUCAGCAGCACAUAUACUAAAAUUGGAAUGAUACAGAGAAGAUUAGCAUGGCCCCUGUGCAAGGAUGACAUGCAAAUUCAUGAAGCAUUCAAUAAUUUU
Phyllostomus discolor (pale spear-nosed bat) is the source of this 107-nucleotide small nuclear RNA. NCBI's taxonomy places the organism in Eukaryota, Metazoa, Chordata, Mammalia, Chiroptera, Phyllostomidae. The record is from RefSeq and is a predicted model, not a curated record.